UGUAAGCGUAUACCAAAGUUGUUGCAGUUAAAACGCUCGUAGUCGGAAUUUGGCAGUUCCGGAUGUGUGCACGUCGUGUGCGCACUUCGCGGGGAUUGCUUUUGUGGUCUUGCGUAGGAUGACGCACUUUUAUUAGUGAACGUCCUCACGCAACCACUUUUUACUGUGAGAAAAUCAGAGUGCUCAAAGCAGGCAUUUGCCGUGAAUGUAUUAGCAUGGAAUAAUAGAAUAGGACUUGGUUCUAUUUUGUUGGUUUGUUGGGACUGAGUAAUGAUUAAGAGGGACAGUUGGGGGCAUUUGUAUUUCGGUGCUAGAGGUGAAAUUCUUAGAUUACCGAAAGACAAACUGCUGCGAAAGCGUCUGCCAAGGAUGUUUUCAUUGA
Molecule: ribosomal RNA, 382 nt
Filed under: uncultured eukaryote
Lineage: Eukaryota
Description: partial 18S ribosomal RNA
Rfam family: Eukaryotic small subunit ribosomal RNA
Source: RNAcentral